Molecule: ribosomal RNA, 254 nt
Filed under: uncultured bacterium
Lineage: Bacteria
Description: partial 16S ribosomal RNA
Rfam family: Bacterial small subunit ribosomal RNA
Source: RNAcentral
UACGUAGGGGGCUAGCGUUGUCCGGAAUCAUUGGGCUUAAAGGGCGCGUAGGCGGCGGUGUAAGUUGGAAGUGAAAUCCCAUCGGCUCAACCGUGGAAUUGCUCCCAGUACUGCAUCGCUCGAGGGGGAUAGGGGUUUGCGGAACUACCGGUGGAGCGGUGAAAUGUGUUGAUAUCGGUGGGAACGCCAGUGGCGAAAGCGGCAAACUUGACCCUUCCUGACGCUGAGGCGCGAAAGCUAGGGGAGCAAACGGG